GUGCUCACUUCAGCAGCACAUAUACUAAAAUUGGAACAACACAGAGAAGAUUAGCAUGUCACUGUGCAAGGAUGAUGCACAAAUUCAUGAAGUGUUGCAUAUUUUU
This 106-nucleotide small nuclear RNA is filed under the name Panthera leo (lion). Lineage: Eukaryota; Metazoa; Chordata; Mammalia; Carnivora; Felidae. The record is from RNAcentral.